GUCCAUUUAAAAUAGUUUACCAAAAGUAACUAAUUUGACUAACUAAAAGUGGCUAAUUUUUGCAAGGACUUAAUUUUAUAGAAAAUACUAAAAUUAUUUGUUUAAACAUUUAAAAUAAUUUUUAUUUAUUCAAAUGAGAAACAUUCAUCUUGAAUUGAACUAAAUUAAAAUUUUCUUUUGGAUUUAGGAGAAAAAUAUUUUUUUGCUUCAAGGGCCGAUCUGCCUUAUCUCUUU
This 234-nucleotide long non-coding RNA is filed under the name Capsicum annuum. RNAcentral describes it as "long non-coding RNA (CANN_LNC007916)". Lineage: Eukaryota; Viridiplantae; Streptophyta; Magnoliopsida; Solanales; Solanaceae. The record is from RNAcentral.